This is a long non-coding RNA of Nicotiana tabacum (common tobacco), 2155 nucleotides long. RefSeq lists it as uncharacterized. NCBI's taxonomy places the organism in Eukaryota, Viridiplantae, Streptophyta, Magnoliopsida, Solanales, Solanaceae. The record is from RefSeq and is a predicted model, not a curated record.
UCUAAUUUCCUUUAUUUCAAGCGUUUUCUUAUGGGUUUGUAUUCCACAAGCGUUAGCAACUUAGGUGAAACGAACAAAUAGGAGGUUGUGCCCGUUUCUCUGUGUAUGUAUGUGUGUUCGUGUGGUUUUGGAGAGGAGUAGCUUUAUUUGUUUAGAGGACUUAGAGGUCUUUUGGUUUGAAGACAAGUUAUGCUGGGAUUAGUUCUUGUUGUUGUUUACUGCUUCCAACAUCUGACAGGUCUAAGUUAUCGCAAUGUUAAUUUUAAUCUCGAGAUAACUUAUUCGAGUAUUAAUAGACAAGCAAGUGAUAAGGCGGUACUAAAUUUUUAAUUCCAGGAUUAUUUUUGCUAGUCCAUCGUACCAAACGACCUCUUAGAGUCUUCUGUAUAGAUCAUGUGCUCUGGUUUUGUUCAAAUUUGGUUCUGGUGGACAAAUGGACUUUGAGUUUUGAAGAGGAAAGUUAUAAAAGAAUUCGUCUAGACCUUAAGGCUAAUGCGUAAUAGAUAUUUUUAAUUGGACUAAGCUUAGGUGUGACACCAUGAUGAUUGAGGUAGACUAUCAAUCACAUGUAUUAGAUCCAAUAAUUGAUAGGAGUCUUUUAAGUUUGUUUGAAGAUUGUAUGACAGUGUGGCGAUAGGUGUAAGAUUUAGAGAAUCUCUAUUUUGUCCUAAAUGACCAAUAAUUGAGUGGUAGAAAUGAAAUGGAUCAAAACGUGUUAUGAACUCAACAAACUCAACACCUACAGGGGAAAGAUGCAUAAUUAUAAUGGAAAUGCAAAGUAUAUAGUCAUAAACUAAGGAAAUAGUAACAGAAAGAAAGGAGAUAAGGAGACAAAGCUAUAGAGAGAAAUGGACGAGGGAGAGAGAGACCAGGAGAGGGGAAUUCCUCACAACAAUUCGCAUAACCUUCUUGCUAACUGCUAGUCCCUUUUAACCGAUUCCUGACAGCACCUCUUGGGCCUGGAUCCCAAAUUCACUUUUUUAAAGGUCUUCUUGUCCUCUGGCUUCUUCUCGCCCCAAUAGCUCUUUUCAGCCCAAUAUUGGGUUGGGGCUAAUUCAUAACAAUAUUCCCGUCCUCAAUAAAAAAGAAACCAGCAGUCCCAUAUGUACUAGCAACACUAGUGCGGGUAAUGAUGUUUACUGAAGCGACAUCAAUGACAAGCACAAACCUUGGAAUACAUGUUGCUUUGACGAGCUCAUCUCUAUCACAAGUAGAAAGGAAAACAAGUACUCCCCCCAUAACAAAGGCAAGUUUUGCCACUAGAAGCUCUAGCAAAACAAAUGCAGCGAAUGGUAAUCCUUCAGAGACUUCAAGGCUAGAUGUAGCUUUAAAAGUGCGCUUCAGGAGUCUCAGCACAAAUGAAAAUUCACGAUUUUGAAAAAUACAAGUCGAGCACAUAACAACUUAACAAGCUCAUCUCAUAGACCUAAGCAUCCGUUUGAACAUCUCAGCCUUGGAGACUGUUUUUAUUUAUUUAUGAACAUCUACCGCUGGCUUUAUACAGUUCUUUCUUUCUUAAAAAGCCUCAUGAAAUUCUUGAAUAAUUGCUCUAGUUAAGAAUCCCCACAAAGUGGAACUCUCAGCCUUGUUGAAGAUUUGGUUUCUACGUGUGCCUACUGAUUGGGUGCGUGUCCUAUUAAAUUCUACACGUUUCACAGAUUAUGUCAUUUCUUGAGGAGACUGCCAAAUUGCAAGUGGGAGAAUGAAUCAAGUAACGUCCUGACUAGUAUUGUCGGCAUUUGGGGGGAGUUGCAGGCAAUCUUUCCUCAGCUUACAUAGUAUCUCAUCAUCUUGUAUGUGGAAGACACUAGACAUCUCAGCGGAGAGAAGACGACCUGGAAUUCGUAGGGUAAAUAUUUUGUUCUAUUCACUUCAUAAUUUGAGUUAGAUAAGUCCUUUUUUCGCUGUUUGAAAUUCAAGUCAUGUAAGUCUCUGAAUAUGCAGACAGUUUGUCAAGAAAAUAUUCAAAUGCUUCAUGACUAUUGCUCCUUGUAAGUAACCUGAUUAUGUAGUAUGCUUUGGAGUCUCCAACAUCAGCCUGUCGUCAUUAACUCUGAUGCUUAUUUCAAUCAUGUUUUACUGAAAAGCAAAUUAUUGAUUUGCAUAAUGUUGCUUGGACAUGGUUUACAGGUCUGAAUAUAAUGAAUUUUCUCAA